UGCAAGUCCAAUUUACACAAUGUUGAUAAAGACGACAUUGUGUCCGCUUGUAAGACGUAUUAUGAGAUGGUACGCAGGAGCUGAAGCUGCCAAGAGUUCAGCUCGGAGUCGAGCUAGAAGAAAGAGGCUGCUGGAAUCGAGGCAGAGUGUGCAGGCGGAUGUGGAAGUGGAACUCUGGAAGUCCGCCACCAUCGACCUCAUGUCUGGCGAAGAAGAUGGCGUCGUUGGCGGAGUCUCCGGAUGGAUUGUACCAUAGACAUAAUAUAUAUGUCUAUGGAUUGUACGGCCGCCGUCUUUUCGUAGGGUUGUGCGCAAUUCUGUUCCCCCGUGAAAAUCUGUUUCCCCUGUGUCGGGAACGC
Molecule: long non-coding RNA, 359 nt
Organism: Fundulus heteroclitus (mummichog)
Lineage: Eukaryota; Metazoa; Chordata; Actinopteri; Cyprinodontiformes; Fundulidae
Exons: 3
Source: RefSeq, a predicted model, not a curated record